This 409-nucleotide ribosomal RNA is filed under the name bacterium enrichment culture clone ALO1_GLFRUDD03FM8QG. RNAcentral describes it as "bacterial SSU rRNA". It matches the Rfam family "Bacterial small subunit ribosomal RNA", at positions 9 to 418 of the family's 1533-position model. The record is from RNAcentral. RNAcentral also lists the same sequence under 4 other names.
GAGUUUGAUCCUGGCUCAGAUUGAACGCUGGCGGCAUGCCUUACACAUGCAAGUCGAACGGCAGCACGGGAGCUUGCUCCUGGUGGCGAGUGGCGAACGGGUGAGUAAUGCAUCGGAACGUAUCCUGGAGUGGGGGAUAACGUAGCGAAAGUUACGCUAAUACCGCAUAUUCUGUGAGCAGGAAAGCGGGGGACCUUCGGGCCUCGCGCUCUUGGAGCGGCCGAUGUCGGAUUAGCUAGUUGGUGAGGUAAAGGCUCACCAAGGCGACGAUCCGUAGCAGGUCUGAGAGGAUGAUCUGCCACACUGGAACUGAGACACGGUCCAGACUCCUACGGGAGGCAGCAGUGGGGAAUUUUGGACAAUGGGGGCAACCCUGAUCCAGCCAUGCCGCGUGAGUGAAGAAGGCCUU